Pyrus x bretschneideri (Chinese white pear) is the source of this 1632-nucleotide long non-coding RNA. RefSeq lists it as uncharacterized. The record is from RefSeq and is a predicted model, not a curated record. NCBI's taxonomy places the organism in Eukaryota, Viridiplantae, Streptophyta, Magnoliopsida, Rosales, Rosaceae. The transcript is spliced from 3 exons.
UGACACUGAUCAAGAUUUUCAUGACAACGCUACUGCUACUGCUGAGGAUGACGGGGGGAAAGAUUUUGCCGAAUCUGUGAGUGUGGGGAAGAAGGGUGACUGCUUGGUCAUUCACUUCAGGUGUCACUGUGAUAAAGCCUAUCAGUUCCUUCUCAGUGGAGGCGACUGCUACUACAAGCUCAUGUAGAUAUCCAUCUCUAUUAUCCAACCCACUGGAAAAAACUGAGCACUCUACAUUCUCUGGUUUGGAUUUUUCAUACACGUAGGUUAAAUUCUUUUCAUGAUACUUAACUCAGUCACACUGAUCUAAUUCUUAGGUUGUUUGAAUCUUCGGCUUAGAUCGUACCCUUUUCAUAGAUUCUUUUUGGAUGAAGUACUCAGUGCCCUGAUUGGUGUUAGUUUUACAAAUCAUCUGGUUUUUCCCCUUACUUCUUCUUUUCAUUGUAAUGAAGUACAAUAUGUGGAAUAUUGCAUGAAUCGCAAAGGCGAAAAGAUAUGUGGAAUGUACUUUGUUGCAAUUCUUGUUUGGAAGCGAAUGAAUAAAAUUUCCUGAUUCUCUUGUGAAUGAAUACAUGAACCUUAUCCUUCAAAUGUCAUGAAAUUUUGGAUGUCAGUAACAAUUUCUUGCUGAUUUCAGUCACUUGUGCAUCUCCCAAUCCUUCGAUUGCAUCUGGUCAUUCGAUUGUUUAGAAUUCUGCAUGCAUACUAAGAUUGUCAUAGCUGCUUUUUUGUUAAGCUCAUAAGCAUAUAACAUCCACACUUCAUUUGAAUUGUAUAAUCGUAAGUUGAAUGAAAUCACGAGGAAAACAAGUUGUUCCUUGUUCUGUGAGUAGAAUUUGUCAAAUGAUUUUUUUUUUCUUUCUUUGUUUCCUUGUUUUUGUAUGUGAGUUUUUAUGCUCGUUCUAUUAAUAUGUGGUGGAAAAGACGGCUCCAAAUUAAUCGUUAUGAAAAAAUACCCUUUUUGACAGAAAACUUACAAUUCGUAGGUUGUUUUAUUCCUCGUCCUACAUCGUACCCUUUUUGACAGAAAACUUACAAUUCAUGUUCUCUCUAAAGUCAAAUGAAAUCGCGAGAAAAACACGUGGUCUAGGGGAUGGGAUUUUAGUGCAGAUUUAAACAAGUAUAUGGUAAUGCUUGCAGAAUUGACAAGGAUAGCUGUGGAGCCAAAAAUAAUCACCAGACGACACAUGGAUUUUUGGAUAGAAGAGGACAAAAAUACCCUUGAGGCAUAUCGGGAUUCCUACGCUAUAGCAGUGGACAAUCAUCCCUCAAUCAAGUCAAAAGUGCCCAAAAUAGGUGCAAUCUUGUCAAGAAGAAGAAGGCGGAAAUUUUCAUCCACAAUAGCCAAAAGGUUUGCAAAAAUAAGUCGAGCAGAGCAGGCAAUGUAGAAAGUUUCAAGUUGCCGGUCAAAUUUGUUUUUGUGUUCUUGCAAAUGUUUGUGCUAGUAACAAAUUUGGCAAUUCAAAUCUCUCUUUACAGUUUGGUAUUUUGCAGAAGAUUAGGAUACAUUCCCUUGUGGCAUAUGCAUUUUUGAUCGAAGAUCUAGCGAUUAAAAAAAACUGAAAUUUCGGAUACUCUGGAGCAUUCUAGAAAACUAUUUGAAAACCAAUGAUCUCCUACUUUCCUGAAUAA